This is a long non-coding RNA of Suricata suricatta (meerkat), 858 nucleotides long. RefSeq lists it as uncharacterized. Lineage: Eukaryota; Metazoa; Chordata; Mammalia; Carnivora; Herpestidae. The transcript is spliced from 4 exons. The record is from RefSeq and is a predicted model, not a curated record.
GGGGCUGCAGGAGCAGCACUUACCUCAGAAGGUCACUGUGAGGAAUAAGUGAGCUAAAACAGGUGUGACACCGGAAAGGCCACCGAGCCCUGAGCCAGCGCUCAGGGCCUGGCGUGGCCGCCUCUCCGGUCUGCCUCCGCUCUCGGCCCCGCCUGCCGUGGGCACAGCUGUGAGUCAGCGACGCCCUCACCUCUGUCUGCUUCGAGUCGGUUCUUCUUGCUCCUCUCCAAACCAUCUAGUCUGUUCGCAUUCCUCUUAAAAGGAGGAGACCAAGCCUGAGCUCGCCACUCGGGGGAAUAAGAUCUGACCCAUCGCAAAGCUUCAACUUCCUCACUUGGUAAAUGGGAAGAAGGACAAGACCUACUUCCUUGGAUCACUGCAAGGCUCUAAGAAGAUUAAACAAGUCAAGUUUGGGAAAGAGCAGUGUGCACCUGGCACCUCCAUCUCCUCCCUUCCCAUUCACGUCUGGACCCGGAGAGCACAACCCAGGCUCCACUACCAUUUCUGGUAAAGAGCAUCAUGUCCUAAAACUGGAAAAUCCCAGGGAUGAAACCUCCCGAGAAGGGCUGAUGCCUGGAAAAAAGCAUGAGGAAGGCUUCUGGAGUACCAGCAACACCCUAAAUCCUGAGUCAGGUGCUGGUUACCUGGGGGUGUGUCGCUUCUAAAAACUCAUUAAGCUCUCCAAUUAUGAUAUGUGUGUGUGUUGCUCUCUCUAUAUAUUAUGCCAAAAUUAAAGGUAUGUUACAAUCAAUAGAUAUAAAAUCAUUUGUCUACUCCACUCUAAAAUAAAAUAAAAUACACUUACUAAUCUACUUUUACAUUCAUUCAGAAAUUUUCAUCCCAAGCCUAAAUUUUUUA